This is a non-coding RNA of Ictidomys tridecemlineatus (thirteen-lined ground squirrel), 71 nucleotides long. The record is from Rfam. Lineage: Eukaryota; Metazoa; Chordata; Mammalia; Rodentia; Sciuridae.
GAGGUUGUGGCUCAGUGGUAGAGCACUUGCCUAGCAUGUGUGAGGCCCUGGGUUUGAGUCUCAGCACCGCA